CAGCUGUCGCAGCUAGAGGUUCGACGUGCUACUAAACAGUUAGGAUAUGAGGCAACGGCCUUGCCACAGUGGAUACACCGGUUCCUGUGAGAUCACCGAAGUUAAGCGCUGUUGGGCGUGGCCGGCACUUGGAUGGGUGAACAUCCAGCUGCCAUGCGCUGUUGCCAUUUUUCGGGGCGCACUCAGCCUCUUGAUGCCAAUUGAGGAGCUAUUCGACCGAAUAGUAGUGGCUUCAGUCAAGAAUACCAUCGUAACGACCAGGAGAGAGGUGUGCUGACCCCACGCCCCUCCUAUCCACAUCCUCCUCGGAGGAUGACACGGCAGUCGGAUGGUCCCGGUAGGCCACUCAUGGCCUGAAGAUGGCGUCAAUUAUUGUUAUUAUUCAUAUAUGCCCGGCAUAAUUCCCAUGAAGUUCAGUGUUCCUGUUAAUACCCAUCUUUUUGCUAUUAAGCUUUUGUUCCUAAAGAUUGGAAACUGAAUUUGUAUGCAGUUAACCUAUAAUAAAUGUGAGGAAAAUGUGUGCUUAA
This is a long non-coding RNA of Schistocerca serialis cubense, 527 nucleotides long. RefSeq lists it as uncharacterized. The record is from RefSeq and is a predicted model, not a curated record. The transcript has 2 exons. NCBI's taxonomy places the organism in Eukaryota, Metazoa, Arthropoda, Insecta, Orthoptera, Acrididae.